CAGACUUGGAGGCCUUUUACAUAGGGCACCCCUUCAGUAGUCUGAAGGAAGAAAAAAAAAACAAAAAAACAAACACCAAGGAAAUGAAAGCACGAAAGAACUGGUGGCAUCAUGGGCUUGCUAAAACCCAGCAGAACAGUUUUAUGCAGCCUGGCCCUAGCCUUUUUUUUUUUUUUUUUCCCUCCCCCAAAACCUCUUGCAGACCAAGCUCUCAGACGCAAUGACUCUGAUACUGCUCUCACCUCUCACUUUGCCCACACAACCCUGACCGCUGCCAGGUGAAGGACGUCGCGGGACAGACUGAGCUGAGCCACUUCCCCAAGAGCUCUCUCAUUUCCUCAGUUGUUUUCUCUAGAACUGCCUCGAAUGAUCCCCUGGUCACAUUCCCAAACUAUUUUUGAGGAAAAUCCAGAAUGAACUAAUUAACUAAUGAAUGAACAAGACUGUACCAGCAAGCACGGGCAUCACCAAAAUGUUAUUUGGUGCUUGCCUACUAACGGAGCUGCCUCAUGCACGCAUCGCUGUAAUUCAUUGCAUACCUGUGACACAGCACCCACCAAACCCAGACCAGACCGUGGUGGGGGACACACGGAGGAGACGGCAACAUGGUGGUGGUCACACGCAGCAACAGAAGGUUGGAAGGCAGCUCUCAGGCUGGGCAGAAAGAGAGAGGACAUGCAGGUGUGGGAAGCUUUCUGGGUCUCUGCAAAAGAAGGUACAGAUUUUCUCUUCAGGCUGGUGCCAUCAGCAGGUUGAUGAGCUGGGCCAGCGGCUGCACUGAGCCUUUCUCUCCAGGAACACAAGCAGGAAUGCCUGAGAUGUGGCCCUGCAAGUGACAGCUGCCAGUGCUGUCAUCUGCUCUGCCCUGCAUGCAGCAGCAUGGGUGCCAUCCGCUUGGCUCGCUCGCAGGAGUAUGGGCACGGAUGGGAAAAAGAGAUUGGAGGUAACUGAUGGGACCAGAUUUUAAUACCUGUGUUCAAAUGAGGCACCUAGCUCUGUAUUCCCUACAGACACCUGAUUCUUGACAUGAUGCAGAAAUAAACUGUCAGCUGUGCAGCA
Molecule: long non-coding RNA, 1059 nt
Filed under: Anser brachyrhynchus (Pink-footed goose)
Lineage: Eukaryota; Metazoa; Chordata; Aves; Anseriformes; Anatidae
Description: lncRNA (ENSABRG00000022007.1)
Source: RNAcentral